CGGAGGGUGCAAGCGUUGUCCGGAUUUAUUGGGUUUAAAGGGUGCGUAGGCGGCUGAUUAAGUCAGCGGUGAAAUUCCACAGCUCAACUGUGGAACUGCCAUUGAUACUGGUUGGCUUGAGUACAGAUGAGGUAGGCGGAAUUGACAGUGUAGCGGUGAAAUGCUUAGAUAUUGUCAAGAACACCUAUUGCGAAGGCAGCUUACUAAGCUGUAACUGACGCUGAGGCACGAAAGCGUGGGGAUCAAACAGGAUUAGAUACCCUGGUAGUCCACGCUGUAAACGAUGAUUACUCGAUGUGUGCGAUAGACAGUACGCGUCCAAGCGAAAGCGUUAAGUAAUCCACCUGGGGAGUACGCCCGCAAGAGUG
Molecule: ribosomal RNA, 368 nt
Filed under: uncultured organism
Description: bacterial SSU rRNA
Rfam family: Bacterial small subunit ribosomal RNA
Source: RNAcentral